RNAcentral lists this ribosomal RNA (462 nucleotides) under Streptococcus mitis. Its description in RNAcentral is "bacterial SSU rRNA". It matches the Rfam family "Bacterial small subunit ribosomal RNA", at positions 28 to 474 of the family's 1533-position model. Lineage: Bacteria; Bacillati; Bacillota; Bacilli; Lactobacillales; Streptococcaceae. The record is from RNAcentral.
GACGAACGCUGGCGGCGUGCCUAAUACAUGCAAGUGGAACGCUGAAGGAGGAGCUUGCUUCUCUGGAUGAGUUGCGAACGGGUGAGUAACGCGUAGGUAACCUGCCUGGUAGCGGGGGAUAACUAUUGGAAACGAUAGCUAAUACCGCAUAAGAGUAGAUGUUGCAUGACAUUUGCUUAAAAGGUGCAAUUGCAUCACUACCAGAUGGACCUGCGUUGUAUUAGCUAGUUGGUGGGGUAACGGCUCACCAAGGCGACGAUACAUAGCCGACCUGAGAGGGUGAUCGGCCACACUGGGACUGAGACACGGCCCAGACUCCUACGGGAGGCAGCAGUAGGGAAUCUUCGGCAAUGGACGGAAGUCUGACCGAGCAACGCCGCGUGAGUGAAGAAGGUUUUCGGAUCGUAAAGCUCUGUUGUAAGAGAAGAACGAGUGUGAGAGUGGAAAGUUCACACUGUGACG